Molecule: long non-coding RNA, 2178 nt
Organism: Setaria italica (foxtail millet)
Lineage: Eukaryota; Viridiplantae; Streptophyta; Magnoliopsida; Poales; Poaceae
Exons: 7
Source: RefSeq, a predicted model, not a curated record
CGUCCGUCCGUCCCCCUUCCUCUCCCUGUGACCUGCUGCCUACCGCUGCCUAACCGCCUCUCCCCUAUCUCUCGCAUGGCUCUAUGCCUCAAUCCUUCCCUUCCUCUCCAAACCUCCACUCCCCUCCGGCCAGCAGCGGGGGCGGCAGCGUGAGCAGGUAGUGGCGACAGCCCGAGGGGCUGGAGCAGCGGGCGCGGCGUGGGAGGCCGGUAGCGGCGGGUGCGACGUAGCGGCGGCUCGCGUGGGAGGCCUGGAGCGGUGGGAGGCCGGCGGCAGCGGCUCGCGCGGGCACCCUUUUUUUCCGCAAUUUUCCCGCAGACACCGCCGCCCCAUCUCCCCACCCCGUUUUUUUCUGUUGCUUUUCUCACGCAGACAGCCGCCGCCGCCGCGCCGACUCCUCCCGUCGCCCUAUCCCGCAGCCACCGCCGCCCACUCGCCAGGCACGCCUCUCUGCUUCGCCACGCCGGAGCCACGACAUCGCCGUGUCCAUGUUGUGGGCGAGCCGUUCCUCGCUCGCCGCACGCUGCCGUGUCCAUGCUGUUGGCGAGCCAUUCCGCCUCGCUGGCUAGGUCGAUGCUGCCACCACGCCGGUCAGACAAUGGAUACAUCACCGAAUCAUAGACAAAUCGGGUGUUAGCCACUGCAUCACAUGGCGCCCUGAACUCCUGCCAACUGCGCCUCUUUACGCAUCUCUGGGAAGCUCUUUGAUGGUGUGGUUCCUGACCUGGGUUGCGGGUCAGAGUAGUGUUAAUGACCUCAAGGUGUCUGCAGAGGUGUCUAUGCUGCUCAUAAAUACUAUCUUGACUGAGAUCGAGAAUGGAACAUAUCCUAAAGGAUCAUUCUAAAAAAAUCCUAAAGGGUCAUUCUUGAAUGUAGAUGUACCAACAGAUGCUGCGCACCACAAGGGGUACAAAAUUACGAAAGAAGUUACCAGACAGCAAACAUGGACGGUGAAAAGGACAGUGAACUAGCCGCACCAUCAGAGAAUGACCUAUUCAAGAGAGUGGUAAGUUAGCAUUUCCAAAUUUCAUUCUAAUGUUCUAAUCACAUGUGAACUGGAUCUCAUAGGAAUCCUUAAAGAAAGAUACGACAAAGGAGGACUGCGGCCGUGUCAUCCAUGGCGCCCGGCACAUACAGAAGCCGGUUGCGUCCUCCUCCCAGAUAUGGAAGACGUUGUCAUCCCACCGCACCCUCAGCAAACCUGACGCCGCCGCGGUGCCUCCCGCGCAACCCCGGAGAGGGCCAGCGCUAUCCACUCAGCCAUGGACUUGAGACAAAUUGGCUUUGGAGCCUCAGAUCUUCUCCUCCCGUGCCCAGGCAAGGCCUUCUAUCGUUCCGUUCCCCAACUCCAACAUCCAAGAACACAGGAAAGAAAUCAAUUGACUGAGGUAAGCAUUGUUGAUUUCUUAUAUCAAGGAGGACUACCAUUUAAUGUGUUAUUUGUAACCCUGUUACCUUUGACAUUUGUAAUCACUUUUGUGAGAUGGCUGCUGAUUACCAUACCGCAACACCACGAGCACAUGUGUCGGACUUUACAAAUGAGCAUGUGCCUUUGUAAAUAUCUUGCUCUUUCAGUGUUUGCUGCUAAUUUUAAUUGCCAUGCCCUAUUUCUGACAUGGAGCAGCUGAGAUUUGUUCAGACAUAGCCCCUUAGCUCCUCAGCAGAUGAGGGUGAUAAUGUCCUGUCUAAUUGGUUCUGGAGACUCAUUACAUAUGCCUAUAUUGGGAAGAAACUACUACAGCUUCAGAGACUAGCCAAGCCAUACUUCAAGAACCAUAACAACUAAAUUGUUGAACAUUCCUAAACUACCAAUGACACCACAGAGUGGUAGAGGGACUAUUGAUGAUGAGGAAGUUGGAAGGUGCACAUAUUACUGUUCUUCGCAAAAGGUUAUUCAAUGGUUAAUGCUGCCACCAACGCCACCACGGUGCCCGUGGAAUGGAAGGCUGCGUCCUGCUCUCUCGCAUCACCUUUCAGGAGUAUGAAUUGAAGCUGAAGCCUAUGGUUGCUGGUGUGUAGGGUGCUAGCGGCUCAGAGAUCACCAGCCAGUAGCAUUUCUUGGUGUUAAUUUGAACACUGGUGGACAACAAUCCAAAUGAUAUUGCCAUGUACAUAAAUUUCAGUGAUGUUGCUGAUAUCAUAUUUCGUUAUCGUAGCAUGUGUUAUUUGAGAUGGAUA